RNAcentral lists this ribosomal RNA (775 nucleotides) under Microbacterium sp. RNE 5. RNAcentral describes it as "bacterial SSU rRNA". It matches the Rfam family "Bacterial small subunit ribosomal RNA", at positions 570 to 1343 of the family's 1533-position model. The record is from RNAcentral. Lineage: Bacteria; Bacillati; Actinomycetota; Actinomycetes; Micrococcales; Microbacteriaceae.
CGUAGGCGGUUUGUCGCGUCUGCUGUGAAAUCCCGAGGCUCAACCUCGGGCCUGCAGUGGGUACGGGCAGACUAGAGUGCGGUAGGGGAGAUUGGAAUUCCUGGUGUAGCGGUGGAAUGCGCAGAUAUCAGGAGGAACACCGAUGGCGAAGGCAGAUCUCUGGGCCGUAACUGACGCUGAGGAGCGAAAGGGUGGGGAGCAAACAGGCUUAGAUACCCUGGUAGUCCACCCCGUAAACGUUGGGAACUAGUUGUGGGGUCCAUUCCACGGAUUCCGUGACGCAGCUAACGCAUUAAGUUCCCCGCCUGGGGAGUACGGCCGCAAGGCUAAAACUCAAAGGAAUUGACGGGGACCCGCACAAGCGGCGGAGCAUGCGGAUUAAUUCGAUGCAACGCGAAGAACCUUACCAAGGCUUGACAUAUACGAGAACGGGCCAGAAAUGGUCAACUCUUUGGACACUCGUAAACAGGUGGUGCAUGGUUGUCGUCAGCUCGUGUCGUGAGAUGUUGGGUUAAGUCCCGCAACGAGCGCAACCCUCGUUCUAUGUUGCCAGCACGUAAUGGUGGGAACUCAUGGGAUACUGCCGGGGUCAACUCGGAGGAAGGUGGGGAUGACGUCAAAUCAUCAUGCCCCUUAUGUCUUGGGCUUCACGCAUGCUACAAUGGCCGGUACAAUGGGCAGCAAUACCGUGAGGUGGAGCGAAUCCCAAAAAGCCGGUCCCAGUUCGGAUUGAGGUCUGCAACUCGACCUCAUGAAGUCGGAGUCGCUAGUAAUC